Long non-coding RNA from Lathyrus oleraceus (garden pea), 727 nucleotides. RefSeq lists it as uncharacterized. The record is from RefSeq and is a predicted model, not a curated record. The transcript is spliced from 2 exons. NCBI's taxonomy places the organism in Eukaryota, Viridiplantae, Streptophyta, Magnoliopsida, Fabales, Fabaceae.
UCCUAAAAUAAUUGGAAGAAAAAAAAACAAAAACAAAUCCAAUAAAACCACAACAUAACAUCAGACUCUUACAACAACUAAAAUGCAUCAUUGUCAUUAGAGGACAUACGAGAUGAGUGGGAGAUUUAUGGGGUGCUUGGUAGCUAGCUAAACAUUAGAUGAAAUUUAGAGAUCAUCUUUGUGUAUCAAAAGAAUCUACAAGAGAAUGCUCAGGAGCUGUUUGAUUAAAUGUCUGAGUGAAACAAGAUAGUUUUGAUUGGACUAUAACACUUUUCUCUCUUUAAACUCUUUCUAACUCACUUAUCGUGAGAGUCCCUCUUUUAAAAGCUAUGUAUGGUGAUUUGUCAAGAAAUCUCAUGACACAAAUUGUUGUUAUGCAAAGUGUUAUUUGGUUCUGAAAAUCUUCAAGAAAUGGCUGAGAUGCACCAGGAAUCCAACAAACGAGGUGAAAAAUAAUAAUGACCAUCAAUUAGAAUGAUGUGAAUGUUCUCAUCACACCUCACAACAAGAUGAACACAGCAAACAUCUAAUCAUCAAAGUACAUAACUCUCCUUUUGGGCACCAUCUUUUUUUCAAUUUUUUCUAGUUGUCUUGUAAAGCGAAACUUAUCCAAGGAAGCAUUAUACUGUGAAUCAAGCAGCAGUACAGUAGCAUGGGAGGAAUAUAUUACUUUCUUGUUUAAAAGUCAUAUAAAUAAUCAUAUAAAUAGUUUAAAAUAUGAAGACAA